AGCCUCCUGAAGUGUGCGCCAGGGCCCUGUUUUUACCCACAUUUCAUAAAACGGAGCUCGGGUUCGGCGUUGGAUGUCAUGCCCCCGUUCAUGUGGACGCCAGGGGACGGCAGAAGCCGUCGAUAGAGCACCGGCCUGCUUAACAUAGCGGGUGAAAAAACGGGUACAGCGGCACUUUGGGUUCUC
This 186-nucleotide non-coding RNA is filed under the name Candidatus Limiplasma pullicola. RNAcentral describes it as "6S RNA". It matches the Rfam family "6S / SsrS RNA". From Rfam's summary of the family: E. coli 6S RNA was the first non coding RNA to be sequenced, but its function was unknown until recently. It consists of 184 nucleotides that fold into an extended hairpin structure with a large single-stranded internal bulge. The record is from RNAcentral. Lineage: Bacteria; Bacillati; Bacillota; Clostridia; Eubacteriales.